Molecule: ribosomal RNA, 665 nt
Filed under: uncultured bacterium
Lineage: Bacteria
Description: bacterial SSU rRNA
Rfam family: Bacterial small subunit ribosomal RNA
Source: RNAcentral
GAGUUUGAUCCUGGCUCAGGAUGAACGCUGGCGGCGUGCCUAACACAUGCAAGUCGAACGGGGUAUAUAAGCGGAAGUUUACGGAUGGAAGGUUAUAUACUUAGUGGCGGACGGGUGAGUAACGCGUGGGCAACCUGCCCCGUGCCGGGGGAUACCGCCUGGAAACAGGCGCUAAUACCGCAUAAGCGCAUACAGCCGCAUGGGUGUAUGCGGAAAGCUCCGGCGGCACGGGAUGAGCCCGCGCCCGAUUAGCCAGUUGGCGGGGUAACGGCCCACCAAAGCGACGAUCGGUAGCCGGCCUGAGAGGGCGGACGGCCACAUUGGGACUGAGACACGGCCCAAACUCCUACGGGAGGCAGCAGUGGGGAAUAUUGCACAAUGGGGGAAACCCUGAUGCAGCAACGCCGCGUGGGUGAAGGAGCGUUUCGGCGCGUAAAGCCCUGUCAGCGGGGAAGAAGAAAGACGGUACCCGACCAAGAAGCCCCGGCUAACUACGUGCCAGCAGCCGCGGUAAUACGUAGGGGGCGAGCGUUAUCCGGAAUUACUGGGUGUAAAGGGAGCGUAGACGGCGAGGUAAGCCUGAAGUGGAAGCCCGCGGCCCAACCGCGGAACUGCUUUGGGAACUGUUUUGCUGGAGUAUGGGAGGGGUAAGCGGAAUUCCUGGU